CGCGGCCUAUCAGCUUGUUGGUGAGGUAACGGCUCACCAAGGCAACGACGGGUAGCUGGUCUGAGAGGACGAUCAGCCACACUGGGACUGAGACACGGCCCAGACUCCUACGGGAGGCAGCAGCAGGGAAUAUUGCACAAUGGGCGCAAGCCUGAUGCAGCGACGCCGCGUGAGGGAUGAAGGCCCUCGGGUUGUAAACCUCUUUCAGGAGGGACGAAGCGAAAGUGACGGUACCUCCAGAAGAAGCCCCGGCCAACUACGUGCCAGCAGCCGCGGUAAUACGUAGGGGGCGAGCGUUGUCCGGAUUCAUUGGGCGUAAAGAGCUCGUAGGCGGCUCAGUAAGUCGGCCGUGAAAGCCCGGAGCUCAACUCCGGGACGCCGGUCGAUACUGCUGUGGCUAGGGUCCGGUAGAGGAGAGUGGAAUUCCCGGUGUAGCGGUGAAAUGCGCAGAUAUCGGGAGGAACACCAGUAGCGAAGGCGGCCCUCUGGGCCGGUACCGACGCUGAGGAGCGAAAGCUAGGGGAGCAAACAGGAUUAGAUACCCUGGUAGUCCUAGCCGUAAACGUUGGGCACUAGGUGUGGCGGAUUCAUUGACAUCUGCCGUGCCGGCGCUAACGCAUUAAGUGCCCCGCCUGGGGAGUACGG
This 645-nucleotide ribosomal RNA is filed under the name uncultured bacterium. Its description in RNAcentral is "bacterial SSU rRNA". It matches the Rfam family "Bacterial small subunit ribosomal RNA", at positions 232 to 885 of the family's 1533-position model. The record is from RNAcentral.